CCUACGGGGGGCAGCAGUAGGGAAUAUUGCGCAAUGGGGGAAACCCUGACGCAGCAACGCCGCGUGGAGGAUGACACUUUUCGGAGCGUAAACUCCUUUUGUUAGGGAAGAAUAAUGACGGUACCUAACGAAUAAGCAACGGCUCACUCCGUGCCAGCAGCCGCGGUAAUACGGAGGGUGCAAGCGUUACUCGGAAUCACUGGGCGUAAAGGACGCGUAGGCGGAUUAUCAAGUCUCUUGUGAAAUAUAACGGCUUAACCGUUAAACUGCUUGGGAAACAGAUAAUCUAGAGUAAGGGAGAGGCAGAUGGAAUUCUUGGUGUAGGGGUAAAAUCCGUAGAUAUCAAGAAGAAUACCUAUUGCGAAGGCGAUCUGCUGGAACUUAACUGACGCUAAUGCGUGAAAGCGUGGGGAGCAAACAGGAUUAGAUACCCCAGUAGUC
This 441-nucleotide ribosomal RNA is filed under the name uncultured Campylobacter sp. RNAcentral describes it as "bacterial SSU rRNA". It matches the Rfam family "Bacterial small subunit ribosomal RNA", at positions 338 to 795 of the family's 1533-position model. Lineage: Bacteria; Pseudomonadati; Campylobacterota; Epsilonproteobacteria; Campylobacterales; Campylobacteraceae. The record is from RNAcentral.